GGUUUUAUAGUUUAAUUAAAAUAUUAAAUUGCAAAUUUAAAGAUAAAUAUGAUUUUUUAAAACUU
RNAcentral lists this transfer RNA (65 nucleotides) under Amara aulica. RNAcentral describes it as "tRNA-Cys". Lineage: Eukaryota; Metazoa; Arthropoda; Insecta; Coleoptera; Carabidae. The record is from RNAcentral.